RNAcentral lists this long non-coding RNA (203 nucleotides) under Elaeis guineensis (African oil palm). RNAcentral's name for it is "long non-coding RNA (EGUI_LNC053054)". The record is from RNAcentral. Lineage: Eukaryota; Viridiplantae; Streptophyta; Magnoliopsida; Arecales; Arecaceae.
CCAAAUUUGGAUAAGAUCUGGUUUUAUUUGGUAUGUUCAAAUGUGAUUUGAAAUUAGAUACCACAUAGAUAAUGUUUGACAUUAUCUACAACCUUACCACCCACUUCCCUUAAAAUCUUUUCUUUUGUGUGACAAAUAGAGAGAUAUGGGGUGUGGGACAUCAAAAAAGAAUUAGAAUUAUCAUAGAUAAUUAUGGGAAGGGG